UACAGAGGGUGCGAGCGUUAAUCGGAAUUACUGGGCGUAAAGCGUGCGUAGACGGUUAUUUAAGUCGGGUGUGAAAGCCCCGGGCUCAACCUGGGAAUUGCAUUCGAGACUGAAUAGCUAGGGUACGGUAGAGGGAAGUGGAAUUUCCGGUGUAGCGGUGAAAUGCGUAGAUAUCGGAAGGAACACCAGUGGCGAAGGCGACUUCCUGGCCUGUUCUUGACGCUGAGGCGCGAAAGCUAGGGGAGCAAACGGG
RNAcentral lists this ribosomal RNA (253 nucleotides) under uncultured bacterium. RNAcentral's name for it is "partial 16S ribosomal RNA". It matches the Rfam family "Bacterial small subunit ribosomal RNA", at positions 524 to 776 of the family's 1533-position model. The record is from RNAcentral.